RNAcentral lists this ribosomal RNA (866 nucleotides) under Staphylococcus aureus. Its description in RNAcentral is "partial 23S ribosomal RNA". It matches the Rfam family "Bacterial large subunit ribosomal RNA", at positions 483 to 1357 of the family's 2925-position model. The record is from RNAcentral. Lineage: Bacteria; Bacillati; Bacillota; Bacilli; Caryophanales; Staphylococcaceae.
ACCGAUAGUGAACCAGUACCGUGAGGGAAAGGUGAAAAGCACCCCGGAAGGGGAGUGAAAUAGAACCUGAAACCGUGUGCUUACAAGUAGUCAGAGCCCGUUAAUGGGUGAUGGCGUGCCUUUUGUAGAAUGAACCGGCGAGUUACGAUUUGAUGCAAGGUUAAGCAGUAAAUGUGGAGCCGUAGCGAAAGCGAGUCUGAAUAGGGCGUUUAGUAUUUGGUCGUAGACCCGAAACCAGGUGAUCUACCCUUGGUCAGGUUGAAGUUCAGGUAACACUGAAUGGAGGACCGAACCGACUUACGUUGAAAAGUGAGCGGAUGAACUGAGGGUAGCGGAGAAAUUCCAAUCGAACCUGGAGAUAGCUGGUUCUCUCCGAAAUAGCUUUAGGGCUAGCCUCAAGUGAUGAUUAUUGGAGGUAGAGCACUGUUUGGACGAGGGGCCCCUCUCGGGUUACCGAAUUCAGACAAACUCCGAAUGCCAAUUAAUUUAACUUGGGAGUCAGAACAUGGGUGAUAAGGUCCGUGUUCGAAAGGGAAACAGCCCAGACCACCAGCUAAGGUCCCAAAAUAUAUGUUAAGUGGAAAAGGAUGUGGCGUUGCCCAGACAACUAGGAUGUUGGCUUAGAAGCAGCCAUCAUUUAAAGAGUGCGUAAUAGCUCACUAGUCGAGUGACACUGCGCCGAAAAUGUACCGGGGCUAAACAUAUUACCGAAGCUGUGGAUUGUCCUUUGGACAAUGGUAGGAGAGCGUUCUAAGGGCGUUGAAGCAUGAUCGUAAGGACAUGUGGAGCGCUUAGAAGUGAGAAUGCCGGUGUGAGUAGCGAAAGACGGGUGAGAAUCCCGUCCACCGAUUGACUAAGGUUUCCAG